UAUUUUAAUCCUUGCACCCACACCCAAGAGGUUUUAGUGUCUUGACUAGCCAAUAAAAAGGUUCCUUGUGUUUGCACAUUAUAAGUAUGAAACAAUAAAAAAGAAAAAAUCAGGAGUGGGAGGGUUGAAAGGGUGUGGAAAGGAACGGGCAAGCAGAAUGAUGAGAAAUUCAUUUAGAAACAGCGAGGGGGGGUUAUAAAAGUGUCCUCAUCUGCAUGUGAAGCAUAUAAGAGCUACUGUCAAUUUGACUAGUCCUCCACAUCCUCAUAUUCACACACAGGGAACAUCAUAAAAAAACACAGACAAGGAAGAGUCACGGUCAGGUUUAUCAAAUGAAGAGCAAAAUGAAGUUGAUGAUCAGACCCCUUCUUUUCAGUUUGCUCCUGUACUGUGCAACCCAGACAUUAGGUGUCACGAUCCAAUCUGUCCCAGAAUUCAGCAGUGAGGGUGUUAUACAGACAGAGCUGGAGAAGACUGUGUCUCUGGUUUGUCUUGGCAGUGAGACUGAGGACGAUGAAGAGUUGGUCUGGCUAAGGAAUGGCGCUGCCG
This is a long non-coding RNA of Micropterus salmoides (largemouth bass), 549 nucleotides long. RefSeq lists it as uncharacterized. NCBI's taxonomy places the organism in Eukaryota, Metazoa, Chordata, Actinopteri, Centrarchiformes, Centrarchidae. The transcript is spliced from 3 exons. The record is from RefSeq and is a predicted model, not a curated record.